CGGUAACAGCUCAAAUUUGAAAUCUGACCUUUCCGGGUCCGAGUUGUAAUUUGUAGAGGAUGUUUCGGAUAAGGCUUUGGUUUAAGUUUCUUGGAACAGAACGUCAUAGAGGGUGAGAACCCCGUCU
This 127-nucleotide ribosomal RNA is filed under the name Capronia sp. RNAcentral's name for it is "partial large subunit ribosomal RNA". It matches the Rfam family "Eukaryotic large subunit ribosomal RNA", at positions 99 to 226 of the family's 3401-position model. Lineage: Eukaryota; Fungi; Ascomycota; Eurotiomycetes; Chaetothyriales; Herpotrichiellaceae. The record is from RNAcentral.